RNAcentral lists this ribosomal RNA (253 nucleotides) under uncultured bacterium. RNAcentral's name for it is "partial 16S ribosomal RNA". It matches the Rfam family "Bacterial small subunit ribosomal RNA", at positions 524 to 776 of the family's 1533-position model. The record is from RNAcentral.
UACGGGGGGGGUAAGCGUUGUUCGGAAUUACUGGGCGUAAAGGGCUCGUAGGCGGCCAACUAAGUCAUACGUGAAAUCCCUCAGCUUAACUGGGGAACUGCGUGUGAUACUGGAUGGCUUGGAUUUGGGAGAGGGAUGCGGAAUUCCAGGUGUAGCGGUGAAAUGCGUAGAGAUCGGGAGGAAUACCGGUGGCGAAAGCGACUCUCUGGACGGCAACUGACGCUGAGGCACGAAAGCGUGGGGAGCAAACAGG